GACGAACGCUGGCGGCGUGCUUAACACAUGCAAGUCGAACGGAAAGGCCCUGCUUUUGUGGGGUGCUCGAGUGGCGAACGGGUGAGUAACACGUGAGUAACCUGCCCUUGACUUUGGGAUAACUUCAGGAAACUGGGGCUAAUACCGGAUAGGAGCUCCUGCUGCAUGGUGGGGGUGGGAAAGUUUCGGCGGUUGGGGAUGGACUCGCGGCUUAUCAGCUUGUUGGUGGGGUAGUGGCUUACCAAGGCUUUGACGGGUAGCCGGCCUGAGAGGGUGACCGGCCACAUUGGGACUGAGAUACGGCCCAGACUCCUACGGGAGGCAGCAGUGGGGAAUAUUGCACAAUGGGCGGAAGCCUGAGGCAGCAACGCCGCGUGCGGGAUGACGGCCUUCGGGUUGUAAACCGCUUUCGCCUGUGACGAAGCGUGAGUGACGGUAAUGGGUAAAGAAGCACCGGCUAACUACGUG
This 468-nucleotide ribosomal RNA is filed under the name uncultured bacterium. RNAcentral describes it as "partial 16S ribosomal RNA". It matches the Rfam family "Bacterial small subunit ribosomal RNA", at positions 28 to 507 of the family's 1533-position model. The record is from RNAcentral.